Molecule: long non-coding RNA, 461 nt
Filed under: Cicer arietinum (chickpea)
Lineage: Eukaryota; Viridiplantae; Streptophyta; Magnoliopsida; Fabales; Fabaceae
Description: long non-coding RNA (CARI_LNC003565)
Source: RNAcentral
GUUGAAUAAGAGGAAGAACGAUGAUUAGUAAACAGAAUUUUAUUAUAACAAUUUUGAUGGUAGUUUUUCUAUUCUCAAUAGGUAUAUAGAUAAUUUUAAUUGUGGAGUUUGAAUUUUUUAUAUAUUAUUUUUCUUAUACAUAUUGAUUAUUUAUUACACUAAUAUUACUCUUUUUAAUAGGUACAAAUAGUUUCUUACAUAGACGAAUGAAAUGUUUUUCCGAAUGUAACCAAAUGCCUGAUUGCAUGGCUUUUUGCACUAGCAAUGGGUAUUAUCAAGGAAAUUGUAAUCAUGACGAUAUUUUUGAUGUUUUUAGGUGUUGUUGUUACAAUUAUAAUAAACUUGUAACUUAGAUCUUUUCUUCUAACUUGAAGAAAAUAUUAUAUUUUAUAAAUAUAAGUAAGCUUUGUCAAAUGAAAUAAAACAUAUAAUAUUAUCAUAAAGUAUGAUCGGCAAAUUAG